This is a long non-coding RNA of Fukomys damarensis (Damara mole-rat), 1538 nucleotides long. RefSeq lists it as uncharacterized. The record is from RefSeq and is a predicted model, not a curated record. The transcript is spliced from 5 exons. Lineage: Eukaryota; Metazoa; Chordata; Mammalia; Rodentia; Bathyergidae.
UAUGUGGGAUCCAAGGCUGGCAGAGGACAGCAGGCCCAGCCCGAGUGUUUUCCUCGCUGCCGCUGCCGAGAAGAUGAGUGAGAGGAGCAGAAUAACAAAAAGCCACUUCAAAACACCAGCCCAAGACAAAGCAGAGGAGAACAGAGGUUUCGGGCACACACUCACACGGGCACACACUCACACACACGCCCCCAGAACCCCGCCGCGCUGCUGCUGCUGCUGCUGCUGCUGCUUCGGGAGAACAAAAACAAGUCACGAGGGAGCCUCCAGCCGUCAGCCUCCGGUGAGCCCUCUCUACCAUCAGCGCUGGCAGAGACGAAGAGGAGGAAGCUGGAGCUGUGGACUUUGGCUCCUAGAAACCCCGUGGGGAAGAGGGUGGGCAGAAGUUACUCCGUAAGACGAUGAAUGACCCAAGAGAGAGAGAGACCAGUUGAGAUACCCUUUAAGACCCACUGGACGUAUCAGUCAAGGCCUCGCUGUGUUGCCUGGUUAUCAUCUAAUCUUAUGAGAAGGGACAAACACCUAAGCCAAGUCAUCACGCCCGUGAAACACAUUCCUAGACCAUCGAUGUCGUAGAUGGGGGGGAGGGGUGUGAAGGAGGACAAGCACCUGUGACCUCAGAACCUCAUUGCACAUGGGGACAGCUUGCGCCCAGCGAGGGUCUGGCGUCUCUUCAGGGUCUCUCCCAGCCGAAUCCUGUCCACGUGAACCUCCCAACACCAGAGUUGUGAAUCUUUAUUGAUUAUAAAAAUGAUCUACUUACAUGAAACCCAGUUUUGAGAAGAGAGGAAGAGAUUACUCAUGAUCUUACCACACUCAGUCCAGUUUCUUUCUCCCUUCCUGGUUCUCAUCUGAUGCAGGUGGAUGGAACAUUUGUUUUUUGACAGAGCCCAGCCUGGGAGCUAGAGUUUGCAUGGCCUGGGCUGCUGCAUGAUCUUUGUUACCAUCCGCAGUGCUCAAAGUACUUGAGCGUAUCAUCACAGACCCAACUUCCUGUGGCUGGAGGCCUCACUUCUGUGCUCUGCCUCAAACCAAGCUAUCUGCCCGUCUGCCUGGGCUGUCGGGCUCUGCGGGCAGCACAGAAAGUGGCCUGGCUUCGGAGGAGGCAGAGGUGAGUCCAGCCUUUCUUCAACCGGCUCUGGAGCUGAGCCCUGCCAAAGGUACCCACAAAAGAGAGCGGCCUCCAUCUUUUAGCACGUUAAGGGCACGCUGGGGACCUGUUCGUGCAAAGCAUUUCACAGGUGCACUUACCCACUGGAUUGUACAGCUAGCUCCUCUGCCAGGCGGAAGGCAGGGCCCAUGCCUUGCUGGAUCUUGUGUUACUUGGGCUGAGGACGGUCCUCGGCAUAUUAAAGGUACUCAGUAGUUGUUUGUCGAGUGAAUGAAAGUUGGAAGAAGGGUUCACGGCUCACAAGAAACUUGUGAACGGCCAGGCUCUUUCUGCAGCCCAGGCUGCAGAUUUGGACACAUUGUUGCCUCAGGGACUUAGCGGCCCGCCUCCAUUUAGUAAUGUGGCUGACUUGGACUUGUCCCCCUGU